RNAcentral lists this ribosomal RNA (1145 nucleotides) under Spraguea lophii. RNAcentral's name for it is "eukaryotic LSU rRNA". It matches the Rfam family "Eukaryotic large subunit ribosomal RNA", at positions 1827 to 3226 of the family's 3401-position model. The record is from RNAcentral. Lineage: Eukaryota; Fungi; Microsporidia; Spragueidae.
AUAUGGCAGCACAGUCCGUACCAACCGUAUCAGGACUCCAAGGUGAAGAGCCUCUAGUGGAUGUUUUACACAUGUAAGGGAAUUCGGCAAAAUGGAUGCGUAACUUCGGGAGAAGUAUUGGUUCAAUUGUGAACUCAUUGUGACAAGGGGAAUCUGACUGUUUAGUAAAAACAUAGCUUCAUGAAGAGAGAUGAAGUGAGUUCUGCCCGGUGCUCGGUCGUGACACGGAGGAAAUGCCAGAAAGCACGGGUUAACGGCGGGAGUAACUAUGACUCUCUUAAGGUAGCCAAACGCCUCGUCAUUUAAAUGGUGACGCGCAUGAAUGGAAUGACGAGAUUCCCACUGUCCCUACAUGUAGACUAGCGAACCCAUUUCCAGGGGAACGGGCCUGGACGGCCAGCGGGGAAAGAAGACCCUGUUGAGCUUGACUCUAGUGUGGCCAAGUUGUGACGAUUGAGGCGAUGUAGGAAGGUGGAGAGCGCAAGCAGAAGUGAAAGACCACUGCGCCAUGAUCAUCACGACACACUUGUUCAAGGACAAAGGCCAGAUGGGGAGUUUGGCUGGGGCGGUACGACCACAGAAUCAGAACGUGGUCGACCGAAGGUACUCACAGCGAGACGAGAACACUCGUGUAGAGCAUAAGGACUAAAGAGUGCCUGAGUGUGAGCACUACUGCUUGCAUGAGGGGAAACCCGGGCCUAGCGAUCCUACGCAUACGAGACACUUGUGGCGUGGGUGUCAGAAAAGUUACCACAGGGAUAACUGGCUUGUGGCCGCCGAGCGUAGAAAGCGACGCGGCUUUUUGAUUCUUCGAUGUCGGCUCUUCCUAGCAUGGCCAUGCAGCCGUGGCGAAGUGUUGGAUUGUUCACCCACUAACAGGGAACGUGAGCUGGGUUUAGACCGUCGUGAGACAGGUUAGUUUUAUCCUACUGUCCAAACAGUUGAAGGGAGUGUGGAUUAGUACGAAAGGAAACCCACACGUGACCUCUGGUGCAGCGGGUGUGCGGAAGUGCAACUGCCAUGCUACGUCUCCUCAAGCAUAGCUGGAAGCCUCUAAGCUAGAAAUGAGUCCUGACUCUGGAAGACGGCCGGGAAGACGACCCGUAGUUAACAGCGGUGUUGUACGAUAUGAGCUUUCUAUUUGU